CCUACGGGAGGCAGCAGUCGAGAAUCUUCCGCAAUGGACGAAAGUCUGACGGAGCGACGCCGCGUGCGGGAUGAAGGCCCUUGGGUUGUAAACCGCUGUCAGAGGGGAUGAAAUCUUCGGAGGUACUCCUCCGAAGUUGACAGAGCCUCAAAGGAAGCACGGGCUAAGUACGUGCCAGCAGCCGCGGUAACACGUACUGUGCGAACGUUAUUCGGAAUCACUGGGCUUAAAGGGUGCGUAGGCGGCGAUUCAAGUCAGAUGUGAAAUGCCUGAGCUCAACUGAGGCAUUGCGUUUGAAACUGAAUUGCUAGAGUAUCCUAGGGGUGUGCGGAACUGCCAGUGGAACGGUGAAAUGUGUUGAUAUUGGCAGGAACACCGGAGGCGAAAGCGGCACACUGGGGGAUAACUGACGCUGAGGCACGAAAGCCAAGGGAGCGAACGGGAUUAGAUACCCCGGUAGUCUUGGCCGUAAACGAUGAGCACUGGGCGGGAGGGGGUUUCCCUUUUCUGCCGUAGCGAAAGCGUUAAGUGCUCCGCCUGGGGAGGUAGUGGUCGCGAGGCGUGAACGUUAAAGUAGAAGUUAGUACGGCGUGAGACGUAGACCGAACGGACGACGACGAGGGAGGUUAGGG
RNAcentral lists this ribosomal RNA (632 nucleotides) under uncultured bacterium. RNAcentral describes it as "bacterial SSU rRNA". The stretch from base 1 to 538 matches the Rfam family "Bacterial small subunit ribosomal RNA", at positions 338 to 873 of the family's 1533-position model. The record is from RNAcentral.